Molecule: ribosomal RNA, 775 nt
Filed under: uncultured Neocallimastigales
Lineage: Eukaryota; Fungi; Neocallimastigomycota; Neocallimastigomycetes; Neocallimastigales
Description: partial large subunit ribosomal RNA
Rfam family: Eukaryotic large subunit ribosomal RNA
Source: RNAcentral
UUAUGUGAUCGUCUCUCGCAUAUCAAUAAGCGGAGGAAAAGAAACUAACAAGGAUUCCCUUAGUAACGGCGAGUGAAGCGGGAAGAGCUCAAAUUUGAAAUCUUCAAGGUUUUACCUUGACGAAUCGUAGUUUAAAGAAGUGUUUUCCGUUGAAGUUUUGGUAAAAGUUCUUUGGAAUAGGACAUCAUAGAGGGUGAGAAUCCCGUAUUUGACCAUUAUUUUCAGCUGUGUGAUACACUUUCAAAGAGUCGGAUUGUUUGGGAAUGCAGUCCAAAAUGGGUGGUAAAUUUCAUCUAAAGCUAAAUAUUGGCGAGAGACCGAUAGCGAACAAGUACCGUGAGGGAAAGAUGAAAAGAACUUUGAAAAGAGAGUUAAACAGUACGUGAAAUUGUCAAAAGGGAAGCGUUUGACACCAGUGUUGUUUUCUCGAAAAUCAAUUAAAAAGAGUUAGAUUUUGUUGUGUAUUGACCUUAACAGCUUGCAUUUCAAUUUUCUUGCUUUUUUUAAUGCACUUUUCGUUUAACAAGUCAACAUCAGUUUCUUUUGUUGUAAAAAGGUCAUUGGAAGGUGGCUUUCUUUUCGGAGAAAGUGUUUAUAGCCUUUGACUCCUGCAAUCGGAGAGACUGAGGUCUGCAGCGUAGAUCCUUCGGGGUUAGAUACAUUUGUGCUAAGUUAUAGCUCUUUAUAGACAACUUGUUGACUAUGAUUAGUCUUGUAGCUUACUCGCUUAUGCUAUUUUACCUACGCUUAGGAUGUUGAAGAUGUAGCACAUCAU